AUGCCUUACGAUGAGCGGUACACACCGUACACCAAGCAGGCAGGACUACUCCCGUGGAUUCUGUUGGUCAGCCGGUCCACGCCGAAUCUGAACGCUCCACUGGUAUCCGCUCUUGUUGAUCGGUGGAGGCCGGAGACGCACAGUUUCCAUCUUCGGACUGGGGAGAUGACCGUGACGCUCGAGGAUGUCUCGUUGAUCACCGGUCUUGCUAUCGACAGGAGGCCUCUCUGUAUGAGCACCGAUUCUGAUGGGUGGCGCGAGCAGAUGAUUGCUCUUAUCGGUAUGGCUCCUACCGAGGCUGAGGCUGAUGUAGAGGAGGGAGAAGAGAAGAAGAAGAGGGAAAGGAAAGCAGUCGGAGCUGCUUUCACGUGGAUUCAAAAUAACUUUGCGACAUGCCCUCCAGAUGCCACUGAUGAUGUGAUCCAGACACAUGCUCGUGUGUAUAUGUGGUACGUUGUGUCGAGGACUUUGUUUCCUGACUCCACUGGCAAGAACGCUCCAUGGGUGUGGCUG
This 513-nucleotide ribosomal RNA is filed under the name Triticum aestivum (bread wheat). RNAcentral's name for it is "partial small subunit ribosomal RNA". The record is from RNAcentral. Lineage: Eukaryota; Viridiplantae; Streptophyta; Magnoliopsida; Poales; Poaceae.